RNAcentral lists this ribosomal RNA (406 nucleotides) under uncultured bacterium. RNAcentral's name for it is "bacterial SSU rRNA". It matches the Rfam family "Bacterial small subunit ribosomal RNA", at positions 32 to 419 of the family's 1533-position model. The record is from RNAcentral.
AAUCAACGCUGGCGGCGUGCCUCAGACAUGCAAGUCGAACGCGAAAGUUUCCUUCGGGGAACAAGUAGAGUGGCGCACGGGUGAGUAACACGUAGGUAAUCUACCUUUGGAUGGGGAAUAAUAACCGGAAACGGUUGCUAAUACCGCAUAAUGCAGCGGCACCUAAUGGUGACAGUUGUUAAAGCGGGGGAUCGAAAGACCUCGCGUCUGAAGAGGAGCCUGCGGCGGAUUAGCAGUUGGUAAGGUAAUGGCUUACCAAGGCGACGAUCCGUAACCGGCCUGAGAGGGCGGUCGGUCACACUGACACUGACAUACGGGUCAGACUCCUACGGGAGGCAGCAGUCGGGAAUUUGGGCAAUGGGCGAAAGCCUGACCCAGCAACGCCGCGUGAAGGAUGAAAUCCCUC